AGCAGGGCCUUCCCAAGUGACCCACUGCUACCGAGCCCUAAGGGACCGGUGACUUGCACGUGGGUCCUUUUGCCCAGAGCCACUCCCGCUAAUAGAAUGAGACUGGACUUGGAACAGCAGAGCAGAAACGUUAUUCAUUGAUCAACAAACAGAGGCCGAGUUCAUGCCGUAAAACUCCUUCUCCCGGAAGGGAAGAACACUGGCUCGGGAGUGUUACCCUUUAGCAGACCCAGUCAGGGAGUGAAAUCCAGAAGGAAGCGAGUGCUCACCGUUUCCAAGAUAAUCAUCCGCUGAGUGACCUUCAGAGGUACAGCCACCCCUCUGCCAUCACAUGAUCAGACAAAUCCAAUACCUCCAGCCAAGGCUCCUGUUGGACAGCUGU
RNAcentral lists this long non-coding RNA (382 nucleotides) under Equus caballus (horse). RNAcentral describes it as "lncRNA (ENSECAG00000049928.1)". Lineage: Eukaryota; Metazoa; Chordata; Mammalia; Perissodactyla; Equidae. The record is from RNAcentral.